GAUCAUGGCUCAGGAUGAACGCUAGCUACAGGCUUAACACAUGCAAGUCGAGGGGCAUCUAGUUUGGUUUGCUUGCAAACCAAAGCUGGCGACCGGCGCACGGGUGAGUAACACGUAUCCAACCUGCCUCAUACUCGGGGAUAGCCUUUCGAAAGAAAGAUUAAUAUCCGAUAGCAUAUAUUUCCCGCAUGGGUUUUAUAUUAAAGAAAUUCGGUAUGAGAUGGGGAUGCGUUCCAUUAGUUUGUUGGCGGGGUAACGGCCCACCAAGACUACGAUGGAUAGGGGUUCUGAGAGGAAGGUCCCCCACAUUGGAACUGAGACACGGUCCAAACUCCUACGGGAGGCAGCAGUGAGGAAUAUUGGUCAAUGGACGCGAGUCUGAACCAGCCAAGUAGCGUGAAGGAUGACUGCCCUAUGGGUUGUAAACUUCUUUUAUAUGGGAAUAAAGUGGUCCACGUGUGGAUUUUGUAUGUACCAUAUGAAUAAGGAUCGGCUAACUCCGUG
RNAcentral lists this ribosomal RNA (504 nucleotides) under uncultured bacterium. RNAcentral's name for it is "bacterial SSU rRNA". It matches the Rfam family "Bacterial small subunit ribosomal RNA", at positions 15 to 507 of the family's 1533-position model. The record is from RNAcentral.